AGUGAACGCUGGCGGUAGGCCUAACACAUGCAAGUCGAACGGCAGCACAGUAAGAGCUUGCUCUUACGGGUGGCGAGUGGCGGACGGGUGAGGAAUACAUCGGAAUCUACUUUUUCGUGGGGGAUAACGUAGGGAAACUUACGCUAAUACCGCAUACGACCUACGGGUGAAAGCAGGGGAUCUUCGGACCUUGCGCGAUUGAAUGAGCCGAUGUCGGAUUAGCUAGUUGGCGGGGUAAAGGCCCACCAAGGCGACGAUCCGUAGCUGGUCUGAGAGGAUGAACAGCCAAAAUGGAACUGAGACACGGGCCAGACCCCUACGGGAGGCAGCAGGGGGGAAUAUUGGAAAAGGGGGGAAAGCCUGAUCCAGCCAUACCGGGUGGGGGAAGAAGGCCUUCGGGUUGUAAAGCCUUUUUGUGGGGAAAAAAAAGCAGCAGGUUAAUACCCCGCUGUUCUGACGGUACCCAAAAAAUAAACACCGGCUAACUUCGU
This 491-nucleotide ribosomal RNA is filed under the name uncultured bacterium. RNAcentral's name for it is "partial 16S ribosomal RNA". It matches the Rfam family "Bacterial small subunit ribosomal RNA", at positions 29 to 506 of the family's 1533-position model. The record is from RNAcentral.